CUACUGGAAACGGUGGCUAAUACCCCAUAACGUCUCAAGACCAAAGAGCGGGACCAUCAGGCCUCAAGCCAUCAGAAGAGCCCAGAUGGGAUUAGCUUGUUGGAGAGGUAACGGCUCACCAACGCGACGAUCCCUAGCUGGACUGAGAGGAUGAACAGCAACACAGGAACUGAGCCACGGUCCAGACUCCUACGGGAGACAGCAGUGGGGAAUAUUGCACAAAGAGCGCA
This 230-nucleotide ribosomal RNA is filed under the name Salmonella enterica subsp. enterica serovar Typhimurium. Its description in RNAcentral is "partial 16S ribosomal RNA". It matches the Rfam family "Bacterial small subunit ribosomal RNA", at positions 147 to 379 of the family's 1533-position model. Lineage: Bacteria; Pseudomonadati; Pseudomonadota; Gammaproteobacteria; Enterobacterales; Enterobacteriaceae. The record is from RNAcentral.